UUGGGCUUGGAAUGAUAAUU
RNAcentral lists this unclassified non-coding RNA (20 nucleotides) under Dictyostelium discoideum. The record is from RNAcentral. Lineage: Eukaryota; Evosea; Eumycetozoa; Dictyosteliales; Dictyosteliaceae.